This is a long non-coding RNA of Ictalurus punctatus (channel catfish), 730 nucleotides long. Lineage: Eukaryota; Metazoa; Chordata; Actinopteri; Siluriformes; Ictaluridae. The record is from Ensembl.
UGUCAUCGUACGAUAAGUCUGCAGAGAGGACGGAUUCCUGACCCCCUGAGAAAGGGCAGCGCUGCUGUCAUCACCUCUUUCCACUCUCGUUUGUCAGAAACGCAAUCUGACUGCAAAACAGUGAUCUGCACUGCCGAGAGACUUCAAGUGUCACGACUUCAUCUGUGGGCCUCCUCUAGUCCCAGGCAAGAUGGAUGUCAGUGUCGUUAAUGCUACCAGGGGUUCAGAUUUCUGCAACGGUACUCCGUUUGGUUUUCGAUCUGCAGUCCAAAGGAAAAAUGCAGCUGUCCUGGUCUGUAAACAAAUCCUAGUAGACGGUGUGGGGAAGUAUGUGUAGUGUGAAAUAGAGAGAUAAUGGGAAGGUUGUGUAAAGCAAGCUCCCUCUAUGGUAUGCCAGUAAUGCGUAAUGCCUGUUUACCCCCUAGCUGUUCCCCGCUCACUCAUGCGUGACCCUCUGCUCCUGAUUCCCCCUGGAGGGGUUUAGUAUGUGGAAUCCCUGUCGAUCCUCACGUCUGCUCCUCCGACCACCCAGUCCACUCCUGCAGCACAGGAUCCGAUUUCAGCUCCUCUAGAUAAGCCUAACCACGUCCGAGUAGCUUCAAACACACUCAGAUCUGGUCUGUGAUUGAGGCUGGCUCUCUGCACCAUGCAUUAGAGUCUCUAGAUAUCAGAUUACACUAUUACACUAUUACUGAAAGGGGCCUUCGGUGUACAAAUGGCUGGAUGCGGC